GAGGAAUAUUGGUCAAUGGACGAGAGUCUGAACCAGCCAAGUAGCGUGAAGGAUGACUGCCCUAUGGGUUGUAAACUUCUUUUAUACGGGAAUAAAGUGAGGUACGUGUGCCUUUUUGUAUGUACCGUAUGAAUAAGGAUCGGCUAACUCCGUGCCAGCAGCCGCGGUAAUACGGAGGAUCCGAGCGUUAUCCGGAUUUAUUGGGUUUAAAGGGAGCGUAGGCGGACGCUUAAGUCAGUUGUGAAAGUUUGCGGCUCAACCGUAAAAUUGCAGUUGAUACUGGGUGUCUUGAGUACAGUAGAGGCAGGCGGAAUUCGUGGUGUAGCGGUGAAAUGCUUAGAUAUCACGAAGAACUCCGAUUGCGAAGGCAGCCUGCUGGACUGUAACUGACGCUGAUGCUCGAAAGUGUGGGUAUCAAACAGGAUUAGAUACCCUGGUAGUCCACACAGUAAACGAUGAAUACUCGCUGUUUGCGAUAUACAGUAAGCGGCCAAGCGAAAGCGUUAAGUAUUCCACCUGGGGAGUACGCCGGCAACGGUGAAACUCAAAGGAAUUGACGGGGGCCCGCACAAGCGGAGGAACAUGUGGUUUAAUUCGACGAUACGCGAGGAACCUUACCCGGGCUUGAAUUGCAACUGAAUGAUGUGGAGACAUGUCAGCCGCAAGGCAGUUGUGAAGGUGCUGCAUGGUUGUCGUCAGCUCGUGCCGUGAGGUGUCGGCUUAAGUGCCAUAACGAGCGCAACCCUUAUCGAUAGUUACCAUCAGGUUAUGCUGGGGACUCUGUCGAGACUGCCGUCGUAAGAUGUGAGGAAGGUGGGGAUGACGUCAAAUCAGCACGGCCCUUACGUCCGGGGCUACACACGUGUUACAAUGGGGGGUACAGAAGGCAGCUACACGGCGACGUGAUGCUAAUCCCGAAAGCCUCUCUCAGUUCGGAUUGGAGUCUGCAACCCGACUCCAUGAAGCUGGAUUCGCUAGUAAUCGCGCAUCAGCCACGGUGCGGUGAAUACGUUCCCG
RNAcentral lists this ribosomal RNA (1017 nucleotides) under uncultured organism. Its description in RNAcentral is "bacterial SSU rRNA". It matches the Rfam family "Bacterial small subunit ribosomal RNA", at positions 356 to 1376 of the family's 1533-position model. The record is from RNAcentral.